RNAcentral lists this non-coding RNA (23 nucleotides) under Cricetulus griseus (Chinese hamster). The record is from RNAcentral. Lineage: Eukaryota; Metazoa; Chordata; Mammalia; Rodentia; Cricetidae.
CUGACGGUGGGGGUUAAGCCUUC